AGUACCCGCUGAACUUAAGCAUAUCAAUAAGCGGAGGAAAAGAAAAUACCAAUGAUUCCCUUAGUAACUGCGAGUGAAGGGGGAAAAGCUCAAAUUUUAAAUCUGUUAGGUUAUACCUGACCGAGUUGUAAUUUGAAGAGGCGUUUUCUGAGGUUUUGAUCAGUCCAAGUCCUUUGGGAUAAGGCAUCAUGGAGGGUGAGAAUCCCGUUCGGUUGAUCAGAACUUCUUUACGAUACGUCAUCAAAGAGUCAAGUUGUUUGGGAUUGCAGCUUAAAAUGGGAGGUAAAUUUCUCCUAAGGCUAAAUAACGGCGAGAGACCGAUAGCGAACAAGUACCGUGAGGGAAAGAUGAAAAGAACUUUGAAAAGAGAGUUAAACAGUACGUGAAAUUGUUGAAAGGGAAACGAUUGAAGC
Molecule: unclassified non-coding RNA, 413 nt
Filed under: Rhizophagus prolifer
Lineage: Eukaryota; Fungi; Glomeromycota; Glomeromycetes; Glomerales; Glomeraceae
Description: partial miscellaneous RNA
Rfam family: Eukaryotic large subunit ribosomal RNA
Source: RNAcentral